This 72-nucleotide transfer RNA is filed under the name Archangium gephyra. Its description in RNAcentral is "tRNA-Asn". It matches the Rfam family "tRNA". From Rfam's summary of the family: Transfer RNA (tRNA) molecules are approximately 80 nucleotides in length. Their secondary structure includes four short double-helical elements and three loops (D, anti-codon, and T loops). Further hydrogen bonds mediate the characteristic L-shaped molecular structure. tRNAs have two regions of fundamental functional importance: the anti-codon, which is responsible for specific mRNA codon recognition, and the 3' end, to which the tRNAs corresponding amino acid is attached (by aminoacyl-tRNA synthetases). tRNAs cope with the degeneracy of the genetic code in two manners: having more than one tRNA (with a specific anti-codon) for a particular amino acid; and 'wobble' base-pairing, i.e. permitting non-standard base-pairing at the 3rd anti-codon position. Lineage: Bacteria; Pseudomonadati; Myxococcota; Myxococcia; Myxococcales; Archangiaceae. The record is from RNAcentral. RNAcentral also lists the same sequence under 7 other names.
UCCACAGUAGCUCAAGGGAAGAGCGGGCGCCUGUUAAGCGUCAGGUUGGGGGUUCGAAUCCCUCCUGUGGAG